GAAAGGAUUGGUAGAGGAGCAUUGCUGAAGCGACGAAGCAGUACCGAAAGGAGCUGUGGAGUUCAGGAAGAGAGAAUGCCGGAAUGAGUAGCGAGAGAAAGGUGAGAAUCCUUUCGGCCGAAUAUCCAAGGUUUCCAGGGUAAAGCUGAUCUGCCCUGGGUAAGUCGGGGCCUAAGGCGAGGCAGAAAUGCGUAGUCGAUGGACAGCAGGUUGAGAUUCCUGCACCCGUAAUGAACAGAACUGUAGUGACACGGAAGGUAAGACAGAGCCGGGAAUGAGAAAACCGGUGCAAGCACAAUAGAUGUGCGGGAGGAAAAACCCCCGUAUAAGUCGAAGGCGUGAUGCGGACCGAAAAAGAGUAGGGAAGCUGUUAAGCAAGCCGUCAAGAAAAGCUGCUAUUGUUUCAUUAUGGCCCGUACCGUAAACCGACACAGGUGGAUGGGGAGAGAAUCCUAAGGCCGGCGGAAGAAGUAUUGUUAAGGAACUCGGCAAAAUGACCCCGUAACUUCGGGAGAAGGGGUGCCUGCGAGAGCAGGCCGCAGAGAAGAGGCCCAAGCAACUGUUUAGCAAAAACACAGGUCUAUGCAAAACCGAAAGGUGAGGUAUAUGGGCUGACGCCUGCCCGGUGCUGGAAGGUUAAGGGGAGUGGUCAGGAAACGAAGCCACGAACUUAAGCCCCAGUAAACGGCGGCCGUAACUAUAACGGUCCUAAGGUAGCGAAAUUCCUUGUCGGGUAAGUUCCGACCCGCACGAAAGGCGUAAUGAUUUGGGCGCUGUCUCGACAAUACAUCCGGUGAAAUUGAAGUGCCAGUGAAGAUGCUGGCUACCUGCGCCAGGACGGAAAGACCCCAUGGAGCUUUACUCCAGCUUGAUACUGGGACCCGGUAUUGCAUGUACAGGAUAGGUGGGAGGCUAGGAAAUGUGGACGCCAGUCUGCAUGGAGCCGCUGUUGGGAUACCACCCUUGUGGUGCUGGGUUUCUAACCAGAGGCCGUGAACCGGUCUGGGGACAAUGUCAGGUGGGGAGUUUGACUGGGGCGGUCGCCUCCGAAAGGGUAUCGGAGGCGCCCAAAGGUUCCCUCAGAAUGGUUGGAAACCAUUCGAAGAGUGCAAAGGCAGAAGGGAGCUUGACUGCGACACCGACGGGUGGAGCAGGUACGAAAGUAGGGCUUAGUGAUCCGGUGGAAUUUAAGUGGGAAUGCCAUCGCUCAACGGAUAAAAGCUACCCUGGGGAUAACAGGCUGAUCACUCCCAAGAGUUCACAUCGACGGAGUGGUUUGGCACCUCGAUGUCGGCUCAUCGCAUCCUGGGGCUGAAGUCGUUCCCAAGGGUUGGGCUUUAAGCCCAUUAAAGCGGUACGCGAGCUG
Molecule: ribosomal RNA, 1366 nt
Filed under: human gut metagenome
Description: bacterial LSU rRNA
Rfam family: Bacterial large subunit ribosomal RNA
Source: RNAcentral